This 1346-nucleotide ribosomal RNA is filed under the name uncultured bacterium. Its description in RNAcentral is "partial 16S ribosomal RNA". It matches the Rfam family "Bacterial small subunit ribosomal RNA", at positions 28 to 1381 of the family's 1533-position model. The record is from RNAcentral.
GACGAACGCUGGCGGCGUGCUUAACACAUGCAAGUCGAACGGAAAGGCCCUGCUUUUGUGGGGUGCUCGAGUGGCGAACGGGUGAGUAACACGUGAGUAACCUGCCCUUGACUUUGGGAUAACUUCAGGAAACUGGGGCUAAUACCGGAUAGGAGCUCCUGCUGCAUGGUGGGGGUUGGAAAGUUUCGGCGGUUGGGGAUGGACUCGCGGCUUAUCAGCUUGUUGGUGGGGUAGUGGCUUACCAAGGCUUUGACGGGUAGCCGGCCUGAGAGGGUGACCGGCCACAUUGGGACUGAGAUACGGCCCAGACUCCUACGGGAGGCAGCAGUGGGGAAUAUUGCACAAUGGGCGGAAGCCUGAUGCAGCAACGCCGCGUGCGGGAUGACGGCCUUCGGGUUGUAAACCGCUUUCGCCUGUGACGAAGCGUGAGUGACGGUAAUGGGUAAAGAAGCACCGGCUAACUACGUGCCAGCAGCCGCGGUGAUACGUAGGGUGCGAGCGUUGUCCGGAUUUAUUGGGCGUAAAGGGCUCGUAGGUGGUUGAUCGCGUCGGAAGUGUAAUCUUGGGGCUUAACCCUGAGCGUGCUUUCGAUACGGGUUGACUUGAGGAAGGUAGGGGAGAAUGGAAUUCCUGGUGGAGCGGUGGAAUGCGCAGAUAUCAGGAGGAACACCAGUGGCGAAGGCGGUUCUCUGGGCCUUUCCUGACGCUGAGGAGCGAAAGCGUGGGGAGCGAACAGGCUUAGAUACCCUGGUAGUCCACGCUGUAAACGGUGGGUACUAGGUGUGGGGUCCAUUCCACGGGUUCCGUGCCGUAGCUAACGCUUUAAGUACCCCGCCUGGGGAGUACGGCCGCAAGGCUAAAACUCAAAGGAAUUGACGGGGCCCCGCACAAGCGGCGGAGCAUGCGGAUUAAUUCGAUGCAACGCGUAGAACCUUACCUGGGUUUGACAUGGAUCGGGAGUGCUCAGAGAUGGGUGUGCCUCUUUUGGGGUCGGUUCACAGGUGGUGCAUGGCUGUCGUCAGCUCGUGUCGUGAGAUGUUGGGUUAAGUCCCGCAACGAGCGCAACCCUUGUUCACUGUUGCCAGCACGUUAUGGUGGGGACUCAGUGGAGACCGCCGGGGUCAACUCGGAGGAAGGUGGGGAUGACGUCAAGUCAUCAUGCCCCUUAUGUCCAGGGCUUCACGCAUGCUACAAUGGCUGGUACAGAGAGUGGCGAGCCUGUGAGGGUGAGCGAAUCUCGGAAAGCCGGUCUCAGUUCGGAUCGGGGUCUGCAACUCGACCUCAUGAAGUCGGAGUCGCUAGUAAUCGCAGAUCAGCAACGCUGCGGUGAAUACGUUCCCGGGGCU